This 28-nucleotide non-coding RNA is filed under the name Cricetulus griseus (Chinese hamster). Lineage: Eukaryota; Metazoa; Chordata; Mammalia; Rodentia; Cricetidae. The record is from RNAcentral.
UACACAUUUUGGACAGAAAUACUUUGGA